AGUGAACGCUGGCGGUAGGCCUAACACAUGCAAGUCGAACGGCAGCACAGUAAGAGCUUGCUCUUACGGGUGGCGAGUGGCGGACGGGUGAGGAAUACAUCGGAAUCUACUUUUUCGUGGGGGAUAACGUAGGGAAACUUACGCUAAUACCGCAUACGACCUACGGGUGAAAGCAGGGGAUCUUCGGACCUUGCGCGAUUGAAUGAGCCGAUGUCGGAUUAGCUAGUUGGCGGGGUAAAGGCCCACCAAGGCGACGAUCCGUAGCUGGUCUGAGAGGAUGAUCAGCCACACUGGAACUGAGACACGGUCCAGACUCCGACGGGAGGCAGCAGUGGGGAAUAUUGGACAAUGGGCGAAAGCCUGAUCCAGCCAUACCGCGUGGGUGAAGAAGGCCUUCGGGUUGUAAAGCCCUUUUGUUGGGAAAGAAAAGCAGCAGGUUAAGACCCCGCUGUUCGGACGGGACCCAAAGAAUAAGCACCGGCUAACUGCGG
This 491-nucleotide ribosomal RNA is filed under the name uncultured bacterium. RNAcentral describes it as "partial 16S ribosomal RNA". It matches the Rfam family "Bacterial small subunit ribosomal RNA", at positions 29 to 506 of the family's 1533-position model. The record is from RNAcentral.